CCGGUUAGGUUAAUAAUGAUCCUCUAAGGGUGAAUGAGUAAUUUGUUGAAUAGUAUGAUUUAAUGGGUGAAAAUGGUUGAAAAAAUAGAUCUAACGAUCGAAAACUUAUAAAUACAAAGAAGGUCAUACUCAUAAAAGUACAGUAGCCGAACUACAUAAUCGAAUAAUAAAAAGUUAAAAAGUGUCGGUGAAAACUGAAAAGAGUUAGGACAUGUUUGGUUCAUGAUUGGAAUAGGAAUGGAAAAUGGAAUUGGAUUACUUUGGAAUCGAAAAUAAAAAUGACGAAUUAUCAAAAAAUGUUUGACUCAUUAUUGGAAUGGAAAUCGAAAUAAAAAUUUAAAAUUUUUGAGAAAAUAUUUUGAUUAAGAGAGAGAAAAGUGAUGAAAGGAGAAAAGAUAUGUGUUGAUGAAAGAGAAUUUUGAAUAGUUACUUUGAAAUGAACCAAUCCGGAAUUCAAAACCGGAUUAGAUCAUAAAUGAAUUUGACAAUUCCCAUUCCAGAGUGGAAUGGAAAUCGGAAUCCGAUUCCUAUAAAACAAACGGCAACUAUCGGAAUCAACGAAUUCCAUUCUGAUUCUAUAGUCUAAAAUAGGUGAACCAAACACGCCCUUAGAGUCAACGGGUCAAUUUGAGAGAGUGCCAUAGUCAAGCUGGACCUGAGAUCUCAACAGAAUAGAACUCUCUUAAUUUGGAUUGGUGCGUCUCCAUGGGCUUGUUUUGGACUAUGGAACUUUCUUGAAGAGAUUAGUGUUAACAUAAGUUGCUCAUAAUUGUUUUUUUUUUUUUUUGGAAGAGAUAGAUAGUAUGCUAUCCGCUUUCUUUAUUUCAUUUAUAAAUAAACUUAGUUGAAAAUAUGAAUCAACUAGAAUUAAUUGGAACUUUCUUGAAGAGAUUAGUGUUAACAUAAGUUGCUCAUAAUUAUUAUUAUUAUUUUUGGAAGAGAUAGAUAGUAUGCUAUCCGCUCCCUUUAUUUCAUUUAUAAAUAAACUUAGUUGAAAAUGUGAAUCAACUAGAAUUCGAACUAUCAACCGUCCUUAGAGCAAGCGGCAAAGGGCUUGGUGGUUGGUAUCCGAGACUCAAGUUCGAAUCCUAGUUGAUUCACAUUUUCAGCUAAGUUUAUUUCUAAAUGAAAUAAACGAAGCGAAUAACGUGCUACCUAUCUCUCUCUCAAAAAAAAAAAAGAAAAAAAGAAAAAAAAAACUACAAUUCGAACUUGGGACUCGAAUACCAACCACCAAGCUUUUUGCCAUUUGCGCUAGGAACGGUCGAUAAGUUGCUCAUAAUUGUUAUCUAUGUGUUUGUUUU
RNAcentral lists this long non-coding RNA (1304 nucleotides) under Ananas comosus (pineapple). RNAcentral's name for it is "long non-coding RNA (ACOM_LNC031980)". Lineage: Eukaryota; Viridiplantae; Streptophyta; Magnoliopsida; Poales; Bromeliaceae. The record is from RNAcentral.